GUACCCGUAGCUCAGUUGGAUAGAGUAUCGGCCUCCGACGCCGAGGGUCGUGGGUUCGAAUCCCUCCGGGUACGCCA
Molecule: transfer RNA, 77 nt
Filed under: Azospirillum sp.
Lineage: Bacteria; Pseudomonadati; Pseudomonadota; Alphaproteobacteria; Rhodospirillales; Azospirillaceae
Also listed under: 3 other names
Description: tRNA-Arg
Rfam family: tRNA
About the family: Transfer RNA (tRNA) molecules are approximately 80 nucleotides in length. Their secondary structure includes four short double-helical elements and three loops (D, anti-codon, and T loops).
Source: RNAcentral